AUUGAACGCUGGCGGCAUGCCUUACACAUGCAAGUCGAACGGCAGCACGGGUGCUUGCACCUGGUGGCGAGUGGCGAACGGGUGAGUAAUACAUCGGAACAUGUCCUGUAGUGGGGGAUAGCCCGGCGAAAGCCGGAUUAAUACCGCAUACGAUCUACGGAUGAAAGCGGGGGACCUUCGGGCCUCGCGCUAUAGGGUUGGCCGAUGGCUGAUUAGCUAGUUGGUGGGGUAAAGGCCUACCAAGGCGACGAUCAGUAGCUGAUCUGAGAGGGCGACCAGCAAAGCUGGAACUGAGAGAAGGGCGAGAGUACUACGGGAGGCAGCAGUAGGGAAUCUUGGGCAAUGGGCGAAAUGCUGAAGGAGCAACGCAGCGUGAGUGAUGAAGGUCUUCGGAUCGUAAAACUGUGUUAUUAGGGAAGAAAAAAUGUGUAAGUAGCUAUGAACGUAUUGAAGGUACCUAAUAAGAAAGCCACGGCGAACAAGGGG
RNAcentral lists this ribosomal RNA (486 nucleotides) under uncultured bacterium. Its description in RNAcentral is "partial 16S ribosomal RNA". It matches the Rfam family "Bacterial small subunit ribosomal RNA", at positions 29 to 507 of the family's 1533-position model. The record is from RNAcentral.